GAUGAACGCUAGCGAUAGGCUUAACACAUGCAAGUCGAGGGGCAGCAUGGUCUUAGCUUGCUAAGACUGAUGGCGACCGGCGCACGGGUGCGUAACGCGUAUGCAACUUGCCUCACAGAGGGGGAUAACCCGUCGAAAGACGGACUAAUACCGCGUACACUCCAUCUUGGGCAUCCAAGGUAGAGGAAAUGAAAUUCGCUGUGAGAUAGGCAUGCGUCCCAUUAGCUAGUUGGUGAGGUAACGGCUCACCAAGGCGACGAUGGGUAGGGGAACUGAGAGGUUGAACCCCCACACUGGUACUGAGACACGGACCAGACUACUACGGGAGGCAGCAGUGAGGAAUAUUGGUCAAUGGGCGAGAGCCUGAACCAGCCAAGUCGCGUGAAGGAUGACUGUCUUAUGGAUUGUAAACUUCUUUUAUACGGGAAUAACAAGAGUCACGUGUGACUCCCUGCAUGUACCGUAUGAAUAAGCAUCGGCUAACUCCGUA
This 490-nucleotide ribosomal RNA is filed under the name uncultured bacterium. RNAcentral's name for it is "partial 16S ribosomal RNA". It matches the Rfam family "Bacterial small subunit ribosomal RNA", at positions 28 to 507 of the family's 1533-position model. The record is from RNAcentral.